This 1246-nucleotide ribosomal RNA is filed under the name Ctenolepisma longicaudatum (long-tailed silverfish). RNAcentral describes it as "16S ribosomal RNA". The stretch from base 635 to 846 matches the Rfam family "Bacterial large subunit ribosomal RNA", at positions 1695 to 2031 of the family's 2925-position model. The record is from RNAcentral. Lineage: Eukaryota; Metazoa; Arthropoda; Insecta; Zygentoma; Lepismatidae.
AGUUAGGUUUAUUAUUACUUUUGUUGUUAUUGUUAUUAUUUGAUUAAGUAAAGUAAUAUGAAUGAUAUAUUGUUAUGUAGUGUAAAGAUUAUUAAUUGAAUUAUUAGGUGAUAGUAAAUAAGUACUGUGAGGGAAAUUUGGUUAAAUAUGUGAAAGUUAAUUUUUAGUAUAGAAAGUGUGGAAUACUGUACCUUUUGUAUCAGGGAAUAUUUAAGAUUGAAGGUUUAAUACUUUUGUCCCGAAGCAGAGAGAGCUAGGGUGGUAUGGGGUUAUUGGUAGUAAAUGGUUCUUGAAUACUACUUUAGAGGUGAAAUGUUAGUCGGUUUCUGUGAUAUCUGGUUGUAUGGGAAUUAUAUUUAAUAUAGCAGUCGGGAGAGACAACUAGAAGUUUUUCUCUAGUUAUUUUUUGACUAGUUAGAACUUGGGGGAUUUGCUCUUAGUUAUUUGAUUUCUCAUAACUUUAUGAUUUAGUUGAAUUGUUGUUGUUGGCUUAGAAAUAGCAAUCAAUUAUAAUUUUGUUAUAAUUUAUUCAUGUAAUGAUAAUAUUUUAGGCAUGGUAAGGUUUGGGUUGGAUUUACUAUACUAUUGUUAAGGAUUUUUUUGAUAAGAAAUUAUGAUAUUAUUAGUAUAUAGGAGAGGUCAAUAAAAGGAACUCGGCAAAAAUAUUUCUCGCCUGUUUAUCAAAAACAUGGCCUUUUGGAUAUAAUAUAAGGUCGGGCCUGCCCAAUGAAUUUUGUUUUGAAUGGCCGCGGUAUUUUGACCGUGCAAAGGUAGCAUAAUCAUUAGUCUUUUAAUUGAGGGCUUGUAUGAAAGGUCGAACGAGGAAGUGACUGUCUUUUUUUAAUAUAGUGCAAUUUUACUUUUGAGUGAAAAGGCUUAGAUAGUUAGGGGGGACGAUAAGACCCUGUAGAUCUUUAUAUUCUUAUUUAAACAUGAAUGGUGGGUAAUAAUUUUGUGUUUGGGUAAUUGUAUUGUGUUGGGGCGACAGGGAAAAUUAUAAACUUUUCUUAAUUGUUUUCAUUUAUUGAUGUGUUUAUUGAUCCAUUGUUUUAGUGAUUAUAAGAUAAAGUUACCUCAGGGAUAACAGCGUAAUCUCUGGUCUGUUCGACCUUUAAAUUCUUACAUGAUCUGAGUUCAGAUCGGCGUGAGCCAGAUCGGUUUCUAUCCUCCUAUUGAAGCGGACAUUUUAGUACGAAAGGACCAGGUGUUUGUAAAACUUAUUUUGUUUGGAAUAAAAAUAAAGGUG